AUUGAGCGCUGGCGGAAUGCUUUACACAUGCAAGUCGAACGGCAGCACGGACUUCAGUCUGGUGGCGAGUGGCGAACGGGUGAGUAAUGUAUCGGAACGUGCCCAGUUGUGGGGGAUAACGUAGUGAAAAUUACGCUAAUACCUCAUACGAUCUAUGGGUGAAAGCGGGGGAUCGCAAGACCUCGCGCGAUUGGAGCGGCCGAUAUCAGAUUAGGUAGUUGGUGGGGUAAAGGCCCACCAAGCCAACGAUCUGUAGCUGGUCUGAGAGGACGACCAGCCACACUGGAACUGAGACACGGUCCAGACUCCUACGGGAGGCAGCAGUGGGGAAUUUUGGACAAUGGGCGAAAGCCUGAUCCAUCCAUUCCGCGUGCAGGAUGUAGGCCCUCGGGUUGUAAACUGCUUUUGUACAGAACGAAAAGGUUUCUACUAAUACUAGGAGCUCAUGACGGUACUGUAAGAAUAAGCACCGGCUAACUACGUGCCAGCAGCCGCCGCUG
This 500-nucleotide ribosomal RNA is filed under the name uncultured bacterium. RNAcentral describes it as "partial 16S ribosomal RNA". It matches the Rfam family "Bacterial small subunit ribosomal RNA", at positions 30 to 523 of the family's 1533-position model. The record is from RNAcentral.